This is a long non-coding RNA of Pundamilia nyererei, 383 nucleotides long. RefSeq lists it as uncharacterized. NCBI's taxonomy places the organism in Eukaryota, Metazoa, Chordata, Actinopteri, Cichliformes, Cichlidae. The transcript is spliced from 4 exons. The record is from RefSeq and is a predicted model, not a curated record.
CAGAACUUGUCUAUACCAGUCAAAGGGGAUUCAGAUAACGGACAAAAGCCACCAGAGCAGGAAGAACUAUCAGCUGCCACUUCUCUGACAUCGGACAUCACCUGAGCAGCAACCAGAAAAACUAUCAGCUACCGCUUUCCUGACACCGGACAUCUCCUUGCAGGAGGAUGGACAGCUGUCUCCUGAGCAGCCUAACAGCAACUCAUCUGAUGAUGGAUUCAUAAGAAUCAGGGUUCCACUUGAACCAACUUUCUUUUUUCUUGAAAAGGAAAGAAUGGGCUAAUCUAAAAAAUAAGAGAUCCCAAAGAAGAUACAAGGGACUACAGUGGACAAAUCUGAUUUCAGACAGACUACGGACAGUGUUUCCAUAUUGUUCCUUUGCU